GACGAACGCUGGCGGCGUGCUUAACACAUGCAAGUCGAGCGGUAAGGCCCCUUCGGGGGUACACGAGCGGCGAACGGGUGAGUAACACGUGGGUGACCUGCCCUCAGCUCUGGGAUAAGCCUGGGAAACUGGGUCUAAUACUGGAUAUGACUCCACGGUGCAUGUCGUGGGGUGGAAAGCCUUGUGCGGCUGAGGAUGGGCCCGCGGCCUAUCAGCUUGUUGGUGGGGUGANGGCCUACCAAGGCGACGACGGGUAGCCGGCCCGAGAGGGCGACCGGCCACACUGGGACUGAGACACGGCCCAGACUCCUACGGGAGGCAGCAGUGGGGAAUCUUGCGCAAUGGGCGAAAGCCUGACGCAGCGACGCCGCGUGAGGGAUGACGGCCUGGUGUAAC
RNAcentral lists this ribosomal RNA (396 nucleotides) under uncultured bacterium. RNAcentral describes it as "bacterial SSU rRNA". It matches the Rfam family "Bacterial small subunit ribosomal RNA", at positions 28 to 429 of the family's 1533-position model. The record is from RNAcentral.